Molecule: ribosomal RNA, 117 nt
Filed under: Lepisosteus oculatus (spotted gar)
Lineage: Eukaryota; Metazoa; Chordata; Actinopteri; Semionotiformes; Lepisosteidae
Source: RNAcentral
AACAGCAGCCAUAUCACCCUGCAACUCACAACUGGCAACCCACUGAAGCUCAGCAGGUGUGAGCCUGGUCAGUACCUGGAUAGGAGACUCCUGGGAAAGCUAAGGUUGCUGCUGAAA